CCUCCAGAGUUUGAUUUUUGGCUCAGGAUGAACGCUGGCGGCGUGCGUAAUACAUGCAAGUCGAACGCACAGCGAAAGGUGCUUGCACCUUUCAAGUGAGUGGCGAACGGGUGAGUAACACGUGGACAACCUGCCUCAAGGCUGGGGAUAACAUUUGGAAACAGAUGCUAAUACCGAAUAAAACUCAGUGUCGCAUGACACAAAGUUAAAAGGCGCUUUGGCGUCACCUAGAGAUGGAUCCGCGGUGCAUUAGUUAGUUGGUGGGGUAAAGGCCUACCAAGACAAUGAUGCAUAGCCGAGUUGAGAGACUGAUCGGCCACAUUGGGACUGAGACACGGCCCAAACUCCUACGGGAGGCUGCAGUAGGGAAUCUUCCACAAUGGGCGAAAGCCUGAUGGAGCAACGCCGCGUGUGUGAUGAAGGCUUUCGGGUCGUAAAGCACUGUUGUAUGGGAAGAACAGCUAGAAUAGGGAAUGAUUUUAGUUUGACGGUACCAUACCAGAAAGGGACGGCUAAAUACGUGCCAGCAGCCGCGGUAAUACGUAUGUCCCGAGCGUUAUCCGGAUUUAUUGGGCGUAAAGCGAGCGCAGACGGUUGAUUAAGUCUGAUGUGAAAGCCCGGAGCUCAACUCCGGAAUGGCAUUGGAAACUGGUUAACUUGAGUGCAGUAGAGGUAAGUGGAACUCCAUGUGUAGCGGUGGAAUGCGUAGAUAUAUGGAAGAACACCAGUGGCGAAGGCGGCUUACUGGACUGUAACUGACGUUGAGGCUCGAAAGUGUGGGUAGCAAACAGGAUUAGAUACCCUGGUAGUCCACACCGUAAACGAUGAACACUAGGUGUUAGGAGGUUUCCGCCUCUUAGUGCCGAAGCUAACGCAUUAA
Molecule: ribosomal RNA, 880 nt
Filed under: Leuconostoc mesenteroides
Lineage: Bacteria; Bacillati; Bacillota; Bacilli; Lactobacillales; Lactobacillaceae
Description: bacterial SSU rRNA
Rfam family: Bacterial small subunit ribosomal RNA
Source: RNAcentral